UAAAUAUCUCUAGAUUGUGCUUUUCAAGGA
Molecule: non-coding RNA, 30 nt
Filed under: Mus musculus (house mouse)
Lineage: Eukaryota; Metazoa; Chordata; Mammalia; Rodentia; Muridae
Also listed under: 1 other name
Source: RNAcentral